RNAcentral lists this ribosomal RNA (253 nucleotides) under uncultured bacterium. Its description in RNAcentral is "partial 16S ribosomal RNA". It matches the Rfam family "Bacterial small subunit ribosomal RNA", at positions 524 to 776 of the family's 1533-position model. The record is from RNAcentral.
UACGGGGGGAGCAAGCGUUGUUCGGAUUUACUGGGCGUAAAGGGCGCGUAGGCGGCGCAACAAGUCACUUGUGAAAUCUUCCGGCUUAACCGGGAGCGGUUAUGCCAGACUGUCAGUCUUGAGUGCGAGAGAGGAGCGUGGAAUUCCGGGUGUAGUGGUGAAAUGCGUAGAGAUCCGGAGGAACCCCAGAGGCGAAGGCGGCGCUCUGGCUCGCAACUGACGCUCAGACACGACAGCAUGGGGAGCGAACGGG